GGUGAAACGGGGCCGGGAAUGGGCGCCUUUAAAAGCGUACGGAAACACAGAGCCCUUGAACCAAAUCCGUGGACGGAGGCGUGUGCUGGGCGCUGGGCUCGUGCAGGCUGCUGUUUCGAAAGAAGGGAGGGCCCUUGGGAUGAUGACAGGAGCUUAGCAGUGUGUCUGUGCACACCUGUUUGCAUCCAGCCUGUGUACGUGCAGCCCGACCGAGGCGACGUGGAGAGCAGCGUGCGCUGCGGGCCGCGUUUCUGUUGGAGUGAAGCAGCAGAUGAUGUAACGACGUACAGAGGAUGGUAAACCUGCACGUUUUAGACUAUACGUUUAAGUCAUCUGUGUCAUCAUCUGACAUCAGCAUUGCAUAAUCUGUUGACUGUCCCCUUUUUAUGUAAUGUAUGUCUGUAGUUUGUUUUAAAAUGUACAAAUAUUUUUUUCCACUG
Molecule: long non-coding RNA, 440 nt
Filed under: Gallus gallus (chicken)
Lineage: Eukaryota; Metazoa; Chordata; Aves; Galliformes; Phasianidae
Description: long non-coding RNA NONGGAT009073
Source: RNAcentral